RNAcentral lists this ribosomal RNA (497 nucleotides) under uncultured bacterium. RNAcentral's name for it is "partial 16S ribosomal RNA". It matches the Rfam family "Bacterial small subunit ribosomal RNA", at positions 28 to 507 of the family's 1533-position model. The record is from RNAcentral.
GAUGAACGCUGGCGGCGUGCCUAAUACAUGCAAGUCGAGCGAACAGACGAGGAGCUUGCUCCUUCGACGUUAGCGGCGGACGGGUGAGUAACACGUAGGUAACCUACCUAUAAGACUGGGAUAACUUCGGGAAACCGGAGCUAAUACCGGAUAAUAUUUCGAACCGCAUGGUUCGAUAGUGAAAGAUGGCUUUGCUAUCACUUAUAGAUGGACCUGCGCCGUAUUAGCUAGUUGGUAAGGUAACGGCUUACCAAGGCAACGAUACGUAGCCGACCUGAGAGGGGGAUAGGCCACACUGGAACUGAGACACGGUCCAGACUCCUACGGGAGGCAGCAGUAGGGAAUCUUCCGCAAUGGGCGAAAGCCUGACGGAGCAACGCCGCGUGAGUGAUGAAGGUCUUCGGAUCGUAAAACUCUGUUAUUAGGGAAGAACAAACGUGUAAGUAACUGUGCACGUCUUGACGGUACCUAAUCAGAAAGCCACGGCUAACUACGUG